UGACUUGAGCCGGGCGCCGGCCGCAUGC
Molecule: small RNA, 28 nt
Filed under: Bombyx mori (domestic silkworm)
Lineage: Eukaryota; Metazoa; Arthropoda; Insecta; Lepidoptera; Bombycidae
Description: ovarian small RNA-32063
Source: RNAcentral